GGGGCUGCCUGGUUUUGACAGCAUAGGUCUUUGAAAGUGUAAGCAUGUCGUGCGUUGGAUAAUUAGCACGUUAAUCUGAAUAUUCAAACUUUAAAUGGCGAAUCUAACUACGCCAUGGCUGCCUAAUCAGAGAUUAGACACCCAUUAUAGCCGCCUGGAGUUGUCGCCUUAUGCGACUCCCGCCGCUGAAUCAUCAAACCCAUAGGGAUAGGUACUCAUGGUUUCUGUGAGUGAGUACUGAAGCUACAACGGAUAAGAACGAGGUUGGUUAGUUGCGCCCCUGCUGAGUUCCGACAUACCAAUGCGUAAAUAAACAUGUAGAAGCCUUUCGACGAAUAUGUUUGGACACGGGUUCGAUUCCCGUCAGCUCCACUA
Molecule: transfer-messenger RNA, 375 nt
Filed under: Chitinophaga dinghuensis
Lineage: Bacteria; Pseudomonadati; Bacteroidota; Chitinophagia; Chitinophagales; Chitinophagaceae
Description: Standard tmRNA
Rfam family: transfer-messenger RNA
About the family: Bacterial tmRNA, also known as 10Sa RNA or SsrA, is named for its dual tRNA and mRNA-like properties.
Source: RNAcentral